This 88-nucleotide non-coding RNA is filed under the name Gordonia effusa. Lineage: Bacteria; Bacillati; Actinomycetota; Actinomycetes; Mycobacteriales; Gordoniaceae. The record is from RNAcentral. RNAcentral also lists the same sequence under 1 other name.
GCGAUGUCGCGAUGACACCCGGACGAGCGCACCGUACCCGGCACAAUAACCUCCCGUCGCUUCGCUCGCCCCGACAAGACGGUGCAGG